UACGUAGGGGGCUAGCGUUGUCCGGAAUCAUUGGGCGUAAAGCGCGCGUAGGCGGUCAGGUAAGUCCGGUGUGAAAGUCAAAGGCUCAACCUUUGAAUGCCGCUGGAUACUGCCUGACUUGAGUCCGGAAGGGGCGAGUGGAAUUCCUGGUGUAGCGGUGAAAUGCGCAGAUAUCAGGAGGAACACCAAUGGCGAAGGCAGCUCGCUGGAACGGUACUGACGCUUAGGCGCGAAAGCGUGGGGAGCGAACAGG
RNAcentral lists this ribosomal RNA (253 nucleotides) under uncultured bacterium. RNAcentral describes it as "partial 16S ribosomal RNA". It matches the Rfam family "Bacterial small subunit ribosomal RNA", at positions 524 to 776 of the family's 1533-position model. The record is from RNAcentral.